RNAcentral lists this ribosomal RNA (459 nucleotides) under uncultured bacterium. RNAcentral's name for it is "partial 16S ribosomal RNA". It matches the Rfam family "Bacterial small subunit ribosomal RNA", at positions 338 to 795 of the family's 1533-position model. The record is from RNAcentral.
CCUACGGGUGGCAGCAGUGAGGAAUAUUGGUCAAUGGGCGCGAGCCUGAACCAGCCAAGUCGCGUGAGGGAAGACGGUCCUAUGGAUUGUAAACCUCUUUUGUCGGGGAGCAAAAGACGCCACGCGUUGCGUUCCGAGAGUACCCUAAGAACAAGCAUCGGCUAACUCCGGGCCAGCAGCCGCGGUAAUACGGAGGAUGCGAUCGUUAUCCGGAUUUAGUGGGUGUAAAGGGUGCGCAGGCGGAAGAUCAAGUCAGCGGUAAAAUUGAGAGGCUCAACCUCUUCGAGCCGUUGAAACUGGUUUUCUUGAGUGAGCGAGAAGUAGGCGGAAUGCGUGGUGUAGCGGUGAAAUGCAUAGAUAUCACGCAGAACUCCGAUGGCGAAGGCAGCAUACCGGCGCUCAACUGACGCUCAUGCACGAAAGUGUGGGUAGCGAACAGGAUUAGAUACCCUUGUAGUC